GAUGAACGCUGGCGGCGCGCCUAACACAUGCAAGUCGAACGAUUAAAGCACCUUCGGGUGUGUAUAAAGUGGCGAACGGCUGAGUAACACGUGGGCAACCUGCCCCUUUCAUUGGGAUAGCCACGGGAAACCGUGGAUAAUACCGAAUACUUCGAGACUUCCGCAUGGAAGACUCGAGAAAGCUCCGGCGGAGAGGGAUGGGCCCGCGGCCUGUUAGCUUGUUGGUGGGGUAACGGCCUACCAAGGCAAUGAUGGGUAGCUGGGUUGAGGGACCGACCAGCCAGAUGGGGCCGGGGAAAGGGCCCAGACCCUUAGGGGGGGGAGGGGGGGGGAAUUUUGCAAAAGGGGCGAAGGCCGGAUGCAGCGACGCCGGGGGGGGGAUGAAGGCCUUCGGGUGGUAAACCGUUUUCAGCAGGGACGAGGGGAAAGUGCGGGAACCGGAAGAAGAACCCCCGGCAAACUCCGG
This 466-nucleotide ribosomal RNA is filed under the name uncultured bacterium. RNAcentral's name for it is "partial 16S ribosomal RNA". It matches the Rfam family "Bacterial small subunit ribosomal RNA", at positions 28 to 506 of the family's 1533-position model. The record is from RNAcentral.